CCCCCUUGAUGUUUUGCACUGUGUUCAGGGCAAGGGUAAAGUGAAGUCAUCACAAGUGCUCUUUUAAGCUUAAGGAAUUUGAUAAAUGAAGUUGUGUGGGGUCCUGGCAGGCAACAUGUUUCAGCAAAGUACAGUGACCAUCUGUGGACCAGUCUCCUGGUUUAUUAUAGGCACAUAUUCCAGUUCAAAUUGCUUUGUGAAACUUUUUUUGUGGGUCUCUCUCUUUUUAUAUUUCAGCUUUAUACAAUUAUUCCCAAAUCCUCAAAACUGACAGUGAGGGAGAGUAAUUUGAAAGGACUGCUCAACGCAAGUCUUUUGAAGAUUUGCAUCAUAGCUACAUUUUUCUAAUUUCCUGGCAUCUCCUCUGUUCUCCUGGGCUUUUCGAAAACAAUUACAAGUGGGCGAAUACGUUUAGUAACCGAUUCCAUCGAGACUUCUGGACCAUCUUUUGGACUUUCUGUCUCUGGACAUUUUAGAUUUUAAAAUUCAUUUGGCACCCAUCCGUGUUUCCAGAACAAGGAAAACGAGUGCAUAUUCUCAAGGAUCUCAUGAUCUAAUGAAGGGCAAGGAAGAGGUCCAGAUUCAUAUGUCGUUUCUGAAUAUAGAGAAUAACGUCUGGAGGAAAGAAG
Molecule: long non-coding RNA, 629 nt
Filed under: Lynx pardinus (Iberian lynx)
Lineage: Eukaryota; Metazoa; Chordata; Mammalia; Carnivora; Felidae
Source: RNAcentral